RNAcentral lists this small RNA (156 nucleotides) under Arabidopsis thaliana (thale cress). RNAcentral describes it as "ATSL026510". The record is from RNAcentral. Lineage: Eukaryota; Viridiplantae; Streptophyta; Magnoliopsida; Brassicales; Brassicaceae.
GACAUGGAUUCUCCUAGGCCGUUUGGGUGGCAGUAUCUUCAAUUGCGCACGAAAUACCGAGAUUUCCCCAUGGGCAUCGAUUCCACCCGUCUCGGUUGGAUGGCCGUGCUUCGUUGGAAAGCAUGGAUCCGCCUAGGCUGUCCCGGUUGUGAGCUA